This 354-nucleotide unclassified non-coding RNA is filed under the name soil metagenome. RNAcentral's name for it is "partial contains 5.8S ribosomal RNA, internal transcribed spacer 2, and large subunit ribosomal RNA". The stretch from base 1 to 120 matches the Rfam family "5.8S ribosomal RNA", at positions 35 to 154 of the family's 154-position model. The record is from RNAcentral.
GAUGAAGAACGUAGCGAAAUGCGAUACGUAAUGUGAAUUGCAGAAUUCAGUGAAUCAUCGAGUCUUUGAACGCACAUUGCGCCCCCUGGCAUUCCGGGGGGCAUGCCUGUCCGAGCGUCAUUUCUGCCCUCCAGCCCGGCUGGGUGUUGGGCGCUGUCCCCCCGGGGACACGCCCCAAAGGCAGUGGCGGCGCCGCGUCGGGUCCUCGAGCGUAUGGGGCUUUGUCACCCGCUCGGGACGGACUCGUCGGCGCUGGUCUUCCUCCAGGCGACCCUUCGGGGCUCGUCUUCCUUCGGUUGACCUCGGAUCAGGUAGGGUUACCCGCUGAACUUAAGCAUAUCAAUAAGCGGAGGA